Molecule: long non-coding RNA, 161 nt
Organism: Eurytemora carolleeae
Lineage: Eukaryota; Metazoa; Arthropoda; Copepoda; Calanoida; Temoridae
Exons: 4
Source: RefSeq, a predicted model, not a curated record
GUCAAUCUUUUUGGAUGAUGAGCUCCUCAAGCUGAGGAACGUGGUUGAAUCCUUGACCAGGGAGAAGAAUGAUCUGAUCAAGAAGCAGACUGAGAAGGAGCAAGAGACAGAGGAGUUGAAGAAUAGUUUAAAAUCCGCCAGGGAUGAAAUGCUGGUUCUUA